AUGGCCACAUCACGCUGAUUGAAACACCGGUUCCCGUAUGAUCACCAAAGUUAAGCAACGUCGAGCCUGGUCCGUACCUAGAUGGGUGGCCGCUUGAAUGUGCGCGUGGUGCAA
Acanthosepion pharaonis is the source of this 114-nucleotide non-coding RNA. The record is from the annotation of a GenBank genome assembly. Lineage: Eukaryota; Metazoa; Mollusca; Cephalopoda; Sepiida; Sepiidae.